RNAcentral lists this transfer RNA (73 nucleotides) under Stegodyphus mimosarum. It matches the Rfam family "tRNA". Rfam says of the family: Transfer RNA (tRNA) molecules are approximately 80 nucleotides in length. Lineage: Eukaryota; Metazoa; Arthropoda; Arachnida; Araneae; Eresidae. The record is from Rfam by way of RNAcentral.
GCCUUCGUGGUGUAGUAGUCAGCACGCCCCACGAGUAACCGAGAGGUCCGUGGUUCGAUUCCCGUCGAAGGCG